Molecule: long non-coding RNA, 1628 nt
Organism: Myotis myotis
Lineage: Eukaryota; Metazoa; Chordata; Mammalia; Chiroptera; Vespertilionidae
Exons: 2
Source: RefSeq, a predicted model, not a curated record
CACACACACACACACACACACACACCCACCGCGCGCGCGUGCGUCUUAGCGGGGUGGGACACAAUAGAAAUACCUAACGAGCUUCCUCCCCCUGCCCCCCUCCCCGUUAGAGAUUAGAAUAAGGAAGGGGCAGGGGUUUACUACCCAAUCCACCCCCACCCCAUCCAGCCACCCAAAUAGGGAUGCAGACAUAGCAGAUGGUCCUUUUCUCCCAGAAUAUGGACCCUUGAAUAGGACCUCCAUUUCAACCCCUCACCCCAAAGAGGAACAGUCUGGUAAGAACGUCAUUAACUAACUGUAGGUUCAUGACCUGGGGCGUGUGGGAGGAACUAACUUCGAGCUGAACAGCCAUGUUUACUCAGUAUGAUUUUCUUCCCUAGUCGGUAAAUUGAGCCCCAUUUGGCAGAUGGAGCAACUAAGGCUCGGAAACAUUAGGUUCUCGCCCAAGGUUAACCAACCUAGGUGGUAAGUUGUGGAGCUGGCCCUUUCCCCUAGACCGGGUCGGCAAACUGCGGCUCCCGAGCCACAUGCGGCUCUUUGGCCCCUGGAGUGUGGCUCUUCCUAAGCCUUAGGAGUACGCUAAUUAAGUUAAUAGCAAUGUACCUACCUAUAUAGUUUAUGUUUAAAAAAUUUGGCUCUCAAAAGAAAUUUCAAUCAUUGUACUGUUGAUAUUUGGCUCUGUUGACUAAUGAGUUUGCCGACCAUUGGUCUAGACCACACUGAAAGUAUUAGGAGGUCAUUUCAUAAGAGGCCACCGUCUUUGCCCCAAUUUUCACCAGGGAUGCAGAUUUCAUAUCAUCGUCCAUACCUCCUGCUCUGAUCUUCCUAACCUGGGCUGAAGGACAGAGGACUCAGGAAAGGUCUGGGGAAAGGAACCCAAAAUGGAGUCUCUCUAAAAAAAUCAACUGAAAAAUAUCCUCCUCGGGUGAGCAUUAACAACAACAAAAAGACAAAGGAGUAUAAAGGUGGGUGAUUAGAAGAAAAACAGCAAGCCUACAGAACCCUGGCCAGGGCCAAGGUUCGAUAAUCCCACGGCACAUGAAAGUUCGAGCCCUGGAAGACAGUAAUCUUUUGAGGCCAGAGAUUCAUUAUACUACUCCACCUUUCAGUUGGAAAAAAGCAAGGUGAUGUGAAGGAUGAGCUGCUCCACUGCUGGAGAUGAAAGCCUGAAGAUACCAUCAUGGUCAAAGGCAAGGUUAAAAACACCUGCUCUUCACCCCCCCCCCCCCGCAAUUUUCCAAAACCACCCCAACUGCCUGCUGGAAUCUCCUAAAGCCCAGAGGGGGCUUAGCCAGCUCCCUUGCCCAGAUGAGUGUGGGUGUGGUAUAUUUCACUCUGUCCCCACCUGCUCCUGCUCCAGCUCCCCUGAAGCUUAGAGGGUGGUGCUUCCCUCAGUCUGCAGCCCCUGGCCUGACGGUGAAUGAUAGACGACUGACACGGAUAAAGACUGGCUGCUCUUCUCAGAGAGGAAAACUUGGGCCAGAAGGCUAAGGGCUGGGGAGAUGGUAGCUAUCUCAGAAACUGUAUACCAGUGAUGGCGAACCUAUGACACGCGAACUCAUUUUUUUUGGUUGAUUUUUCUUUGUUAAAUGGCAUUUAAAUAUAUAAAAUAAAUAUCAAAAAUGUAA